GCCCCACUGAAGUCAACGAGAAACAGAUGGUGAGAAACAUUUCUGCUCUUCCACACCUAGGAUGCGGUUCUGCUCUGAGCAUCCAGCACCAGUGAGGCAAUCUGCUUUUCAUUUAUGGGCAGAGAAAAGCCACAGAGGAAGGAAUGAGGGAGGCCAUAGUUCUCAGAGUGUCGGAGGAGUUGAUGCAAUAAUAAUUCAAUUCCCCCUACUCUGAAAAGCAAGGCAGUCCAACCCGGCAGGAUGCCUGCAGCCAGGGCUGUAAACUCCAGCUCACCUCAGGCUACCUCCAGCUGAGCAAGCCCACACCAGAACCUGUGGGCCUGAACUCUUGCAGGGGAAGAGUUCAAACAGGGCCUUUUCCAGUUUGCAUCAUGUGGCAGAGCCCUGUAGCCAAUCAGCUGGAAGCGAGUUCCAGGUCUGGCGGCAUCUUUGCAGCCUCUCACCUGCCAGGAUUGCUCCCCCUGUGGUCUUCCUCUGCCUGCUUCCCAGGGCAGGGCUCCAUCCAGCGUCAUUUGAUGGAGCUUUCACAUGCCAUUCCCCAAUAAAAUAAAAUGCCCUGAAGUGACCCCGGCCCCCUGUACUCUUCCAUUCUCUGCCGGUUCCAUAGCAUCCAGCACAACUACAAGCCUCCCUGCAGUUGAUUAUAUCCCAAUCAUAUCCAAUAAUAAAAUUCCACGAGGAUUAAAUCAUUUAAAUUGUCUCUUUUUGCCAAGACUUUAAGCUCUCUAAGGGCAACAGACGUGUUUACUCCAGGUGCUACAUCAGGAAUCAGAAAAGGCAUUUGUACUUGUAAUACACCAAACUGGAAACAGCCCAAAUGUCUAUCACUGAGUGAAGAGAGAAACAAAUUAUCUUAUUUCCAUACAAUGAGAUACUGCUCAGCUAAAAAAAAGAACAAAUUAUCCAUAACAUGCUAUAACAUGGGUGAAUCUCAAAAUCGUAGGCUGAGUGUAAGAUAUAAAUGAUAUCUACUGUAUGAUAAUUUACAUAAAAAUCUAGACAAAGCAAAACUCAUCUAUAUUGACAGG
RNAcentral lists this long non-coding RNA (1028 nucleotides) under Homo sapiens (human). Its description in RNAcentral is "HSALNT0329686". The record is from RNAcentral. Lineage: Eukaryota; Metazoa; Chordata; Mammalia; Primates; Hominidae.